This is a small nucleolar RNA of Choloepus didactylus (southern two-toed sloth), 133 nucleotides long. RefSeq annotates it as small nucleolar RNA SNORA48. The transcript has a single exon. The record is from RefSeq and is a predicted model, not a curated record. Lineage: Eukaryota; Metazoa; Chordata; Mammalia; Pilosa; Megalonychidae.
ACUCCCUGACCUGGUGGAGUGGCACUUAGUGGUGGUGCCCAUCCCCUAUCCACGAGGGAGAGAGCAACCCCUUGUUUAUCCCAGCUUGGUUUUUGUAUCGUGCCCAUGUCUGGUUCGUGCCUUGGACACAAGG